AAAUUGCGGGUUCGUAGAGGAACCUUUUUGACUUGAGAUUGAGGUACAUUGACUGUGUUUGCUACUAAGGGACUUGAAGAUAGUUAGCUCCAGUUGGGUUAAAGAGUGCGUUGGAUCCCUUUUGAUUUAAUAGGACUUUAAAAAGACUUCCGCUGUUAUUUAUUUAUAAGAUUUAUGUUCUGGUUUGUAAUAAUUAGUUUACAUUCUAUUUAGUUGGUCUGUAAUAAUUAGUUAAAACUUAUUGGUUAUUGUUUUA
Beta vulgaris subsp. vulgaris (sugar beet) is the source of this 256-nucleotide long non-coding RNA. RefSeq lists it as uncharacterized. The record is from RefSeq and is a predicted model, not a curated record. The transcript has 2 exons. Lineage: Eukaryota; Viridiplantae; Streptophyta; Magnoliopsida; Caryophyllales; Amaranthaceae.